AUUGAACGCUGGCGGCAUGCUUUACACAUGCAAGUCGAACGGUAACAGGCCUUCUGUUUCUGACGCUUGGCUGACGGGUGAGUAAUUCAUCCGAACGUACCCUGCGCUUGGGUUUAACGCAGCUUAAGCUGUGCUAAUCCCGCAUCUGAUCUGAGCUUGACAUCGGUGGACCGAGCAGCAAUGUUUCGCCUCGCGCCUUUGGACCCGCCGAUGUUGGAUUAGCUAGUUGGUGGGGUAAAUGCCUACCAAGGCGACGAUCCGUAGCUGGUCUGAGAGGACGACAAGCGACCAUGGGACUGGGACAGGGACAAGAGUCCUAAGGGAGGCAGCAGUGGGGAAUGGGAGACAAUGGGGGGAAGCAUGAUCCAGCAAGGGCGCGUGCGAGAAGAAGGCGUUCGGGUUGUAAAGAGCGUUUGGGAGGAACGAAACGGUGUCGGCUAAUACCGGGCGCGAAUGACGGUACCUGGAGAAUAAGCACCGGCUAACUACGUG
Molecule: ribosomal RNA, 492 nt
Filed under: uncultured bacterium
Lineage: Bacteria
Description: partial 16S ribosomal RNA
Rfam family: Bacterial small subunit ribosomal RNA
Source: RNAcentral